RNAcentral lists this small RNA (248 nucleotides) under Vigna angularis var. angularis. RNAcentral's name for it is "Non-protein coding transcript". The record is from RNAcentral. Lineage: Eukaryota; Viridiplantae; Streptophyta; Magnoliopsida; Fabales; Fabaceae.
GUUUGAUUCCUCUGAGUUUUUGUUUUAGUUUUGAGAAACACUGCAAGCACAAUGGAUGCCACUCACUCCAUGUUCUGCAACAAUGAUCUGGUUAACCCCCUAAGCUCAAUGGGCAUGCAAGUGUCCUGCAUUCUUGUCGUGUCACAUAUCUUCAACGUUGUGUUUAGGACUGUGGGUCAACCUGGACCAAUUGCGCAGAUUCUGGCUGGGUUGGCGCUAGGUCCAAUGUCACACAUUCCGUAUAUAAA